This 248-nucleotide ribosomal RNA is filed under the name uncultured euryarchaeote. Its description in RNAcentral is "partial 16S ribosomal RNA". It matches the Rfam family "Archaeal small subunit ribosomal RNA", at positions 478 to 725 of the family's 1478-position model. The record is from RNAcentral. Lineage: Archaea; Methanobacteriati; Methanobacteriota.
GGCGGCUCGAGUGGUAACCGUUAUUAUUGGGUCUAAAGGGUCUGUAGCCGGCCGGAUAAGUCUCUUGGGAAAUCCAGCAGCUUAACUGUUGGGCUUUCAGGAGAUACUGUCUGGCUCGAGGCCGGGAGAGGUGAGAGGUACUUCAGGGGUAGGGGUGAAAUCUUGUAAUCCUUGAAGGACCACCAGUGGCGAAGGCGUCUCACCAGAACGGACCUGACGGCAAGGGACGAAAGCUAGGGGCACGAACC